Anastrepha ludens (Mexican fruit fly) is the source of this 8051-nucleotide long non-coding RNA. RefSeq lists it as uncharacterized. NCBI's taxonomy places the organism in Eukaryota, Metazoa, Arthropoda, Insecta, Diptera, Tephritidae. The transcript has 3 exons. The record is from RefSeq and is a predicted model, not a curated record.
GUAAUAAUAUGUACAUAUGCAUGAGUGUUUGUUCCUAGCAAUUAUCUCAUUGUUAAGUUUUUUUAUAAUUUCUCUGCAAAUGCUGCUGCACCUUCGCAGCCGAACGUUUAUCUUUGAUCCUGGAUUCGAUUCCAAUUGUAACAAGAAACAUAAAAUUAUAGAAAAGUGUGUUUAUACUCCUAUAAGUAUUUAUCACUUAACAAUUGGCAUCUUAAGAAGCGAAAGCAGUUAGCGAAACAGCAGAUGCAGAGUUUUAGAGCCAAUCCUACCGAACACAACACACCAAAUAUCUUGGCGACUAUUUCUUUGAAGGCCUGGGAAAUUUGCAGAAUGUCUCACUGGAGGGACUAGUUACCUUCUUAAAAAGAUCUAAGUGGUUUAAGCACCUUAGUUGGGCGAUGGAAAUCAAAUGCAGGUGUCACAAUGUGCCUUAGGGCCACCGAGUGUCUUGUCUUUGGCUAACCUAACCUAACCUAAUGUUGUCUUUACAUUCAUUGGCAAUACCAGCUUAUAAUACUCGUUUAGGGCUGGGGAGAGCCUUCAGUUCCGCUUGGCUACCACUGCACAUGUAAAUUUUUUUGCUCACGCAGAUGUUCUUAAUGACAUAACCCAUGACCCUAAUUAUUGCAAACAUUUCCACACCUCUCUAGGGAAUACCAAAGUUUGACGACUCAACGAAUAUCCCUGCUUGAAAGAUUCUGCAGCAUUGCUCACUUAGUUCUGAUGGCGCAAGCCAUUGGUUCCUGUCUGGUGUUACCAUAUUAAACUUUCUAAGUAACUUAAGUCUCAGUGCUCAAAAGUCAGGAGGCGUGGCGAAAUGCUGUCUUUACUUAUUGAAUUUUAUACACCUUCUUCUUUGAUUGAAGAACAUUUUUUUCGCGAUCUUGAUGUUCUUUUAAUUCUUUUGCAAAGUUGCCGGGAUUUAAGAGCCCUUAAAAAACUCAAAGGGAAGUUAUAAUGCCAUCUUUCUAUUCGCAUUUCGAAGUUACAAGUACGAAACCGGAAGGUUUAUUUGGAUUUCACUGUUGUGUUAUUUAUUUUACUUGAGAUCUAGAUACAGUCUAGUUCACUUGAUUAAAGACAAGAAUUUUUAUAGAACAGAAGCAACCGUAUUUGAUCUAGUAUCCCAAGGUUUUCUGAUACUUCAAGUACUUUCCUCGAAAAUAAAUAUUUCGCAGCAGUAAAACUUCAACAGCUGUAAUUUUGAGCUUGAUUUCACUUCACUGGGUUCACUUGAAUAGAGACACUUACGUUGCGUUUUUUAAGCAUUCACUGUGUUUGGUCGAAAACUUCUUAGAUCUAAUAAAAUAGGAACGCUGAAAGGUUUAAUAGAUCGCGUGAAAGGAUCAACCGCUAUCUUGGCUACAGAGGGACUUUCGAAUCGCCAAGUGACGAAAAAGAUUGGUCGAACUCCUAAUGAUGUGGAUGUGGAUGUGGAAACAAGAUGUCUGCUAUGGUAAGAACUACAAAGGCAGAACUGCGAUUGUUUGGACACCGAAAAAAACCCGUAAGAUCCUUGGAAUUGCAGCAAAUUCCGUCCUUUCAACAGCACAAAUUACAGAGAUGGCAAAUGUUGCAGCCAGCAAAGCCAGCGUUCGAAGGGCUUUUAUUAUACGAAUAUUGAUUGAAUACGCCCUCUAAAUUUUUAUAAUGAAAUCGCUUAUGAGAAUCAAUCUAACUAGGACUAAAAUGUAAUGCCGAGAAAUUGACAAUUUAUUUUGUUGAAAUAAGCAAAAAAUUCUAAAUUAGAAAAUGAAUCCGUACAUCCCAUUUCCACUAAAAUAACUCCUCUUAAAAUCAUCUACCUGUGUAUCCCCAACUACUGCAAUAUAUAUCUUUGUAUGUAAAUAGUUGAGUGUGCUUGUAUACCUGUGCUCAUCAAGGACGACACUGUCCAAUAGCGUAUCAGAUACGAAUAUGUCCACAAACAAAAAAGAACACUUAUAAAAAUAAAAACAACAAAAUCAAAAUAAAAGCAAUAACAUAGAAAAUCCAAGGACAAAACAGAAAAAAAGCACACAAAAAAACCACACACCGGAAUGUGCGCAAAAGCUACCUACACUAACAACAACGAUAGCUGUCCCGAAAACAACCCCACUGAAGAGCGUGGCAAGUAGUUGAGUGGAGCUGAGAAUAGAAAUCAUAUAGGUAUGUAAAAGCUAGCAAGUGAAGGAGAGAGCAUGUGAGCAAGCGGGCGCCAACAGUAGGUGCCUAGAAAUGGUUUGGUGGAGCAACAGUGGAGAGAACUUGAAUGGAUAUGUUUGCGUGUAUUUAUGUAUGUAGGUGAAGUUAAAGAGUGUAAUGAAAAAGCCGGUCUCACCGCCACCACAACAAUAACCUCCGGGCGAGAGAACAACAGAUAUGGAAAGUCCCAGUUGGGCUGGCCAAACAAUACGGUAGCGAUAUCAAAUUCUCUCUUGCACAUUUGUGUGUUGUUCGCUGGAAAUUUGAAAAGUGCGCAAGGCAAAGGGGUGGACCAAAUGUACAACAAUAACAGAGGCAUCAACAAGAGUCAGCAACCACCAAGCGACUAUGCAUAUAUGAGUACAUGUAACAACUAAAACAACAACAACAGCAAGCAAGCAUAUCAACAACAGAGACAGCGACAAAUUCCUAGUGGUUGGCGGCCGGGCGCGCGAUUCAUUUUUGAAUUUCUCAGAUUUUUCAUUCAUUCGUCGAAUAAACGUCGACGCUUUCGGUUUGUGUGAACGGUGAUUUUCGUAUCGUUGUAUACAAAAACAAAAAAGAAUUUUAUCUGUUAGAUAGUUCAGCGAGCUCAAACAAUCUUAAGCAGCAACAACAAUAACGUGCGCGUGCGAUAUCAUAAUUACAAUAUUCGAUACAAAUUAGAAAAAUAAAUAAAAAAUUUGCGGUUUUGGCGAAGCGUUAAUUGCAAAUUUGGCAAUUAUCUUUGUAAUCGUGGAAACAAAAUUAAUAAAAAUAAAUUCGUUUCAAAGUGCUUUUGGAGCGUGAAGUAUGCGACACUAAGCCGGUUUUCUUGUUGUGGGUACGAUUUGUUGUUUAUUUUGUGAUUUUACGACACAAAAGUGCGUUUUCAAUCAAAAAUUUUAUUAAAAAAUUACAUGGCAAAAAAUUGUUUGUUGUAUCAGAGUGCACAUAUGUAGAUAUAUAUACAUACAUACAAAAAUCAAAGUUAAUUAAAAUCGAAUUGUGGCAGCGCCAACAUAACAACAACAAUAACCAACAAAAGUGGCCGAAGCAUAGCAGUGGUGGCAACGGCACUAGCACAAAAGCGAAAGAGCGCAAAUUAAAAGCAAAUAACGAAUAAUUGAGAAAUCACAGUUGCGACUACGCGUUAAUUAAAUCACAACAAAAGUAAGAAUAUACAAGAAAAUCAGUGUGAAGAAAAUAUCAUUUUCAAAAAAAUACAUAUAUAUAUAUAUUUCAUGCAAAAAAUUAACACAUCAAAAAGAGUGGAAAGUGAAGAAAACAACAAAUUAAUCGCAAUAACACGCUGAGUAACUCAAGAAGUGCGGAGAAGUGCUAGCAGCGAAUAUUGUUUAGAAAAAAGGUAGAGACUUCAAAAUUUCAGAAAAAAUGAAGUGAAACAAAUUGAAAGGAGUAGAAACUCAAGUUUCUAGCUAGUGGAAAUGGUCCUGCGGUCCAUAUAAAAGUGACAAUUCAGCGAAGAAGGAGAGUGCACAAGCCAACUGUUCAAAUAACAUUUUAAUUAUAUAAAAACAAAUACAUAAAAAAAACUAUUGUAAUCAAAAAACGCACAUUUCACUUACUAAUCAACACAAAUUUGCUAUGGCAAUAAAUAGUUUUUAAUUUACAUUCGCGUGGAAAAAAAUAAAAAAGCAAAAAAUUCAUCGUCGCGUAAAAUUAUUUUAGUGAAACAAAUUUAUUACUGGAAAAUACAAAAGAGUCAUCAGCUUUAACGACGUUGCAAACGGAAAUUCAGAAAAAAAAAUUUACUUAAAGAAGACUAUAAUAAAUUGUAUGCACACAUUCUGCGCAAUAUUUAUUAUAAACAACUUGGAACGGCGCACUGAAAGCGCCAUAAAGUUUCAGUGUUCAAAUAUUCAUCCCAGUAAAUUUAAUUUAAUAGCAACAUUUUACAGCAGCUUGCUCCAAUAGUUCAUAACCUGACGUUUUACGUGUUGCAGCUUUGCUACUGCAGUCCCAGGGAGGCGUACAACCGUUAUAACGGACAAAUCCGCAUAUGUAAGAAAAACUUAUAUGGUCUCUUGAAUAUUUAAACUGUAAAGUACGUGAAAGCUUUAUGGAAUUCAGCAGGAAUCGUGUGUAAAAAUAAUAAAUGUAAAGUUCCUAUGCCAUGUGAGUCUAUAAAAGCCUUACGAAUUUUCUUUGUCUGCAAUCCUUCAAUGAUUUAUACAAUUGUUAGGACUGGUUUUAUACCUCACCAAUAAACUAUUCGUAGCUUUAAAGUAUCCCUUAAAUUUGUUCGACCGUUCAACAAGGUUUUGCGAAACACAAUUGUAUUUAUCGAUAUGGUAAAUUGACCUGCAAUGUUAGAAAAUAGUUAGGAAAAAAUGAUUUUGAACUCGUAAAUGGCAAGAAAGGAAAUAACUUUUAGCUAUUAUCGAUAUCACGACAGACGUUUCUACACAUCGAAGUCACUUGAAGAUUCCCCUAUCUUUUAAUCCACUGUUCUAAUCGGUUUUAACGCAUAAUAUUUAUAUUUAGUAAUUUCGAAACCUUGCCCUAGCUGAAGAAUUUAAGUUUCGUCCAUUUAUCGUAAAUCACUCAAUCUUCGAUCUGUGUUUAAUAAGUUGAGUUGUUGGUAUGAAUACUAAAAUGCAUAGGAAAACAAUUUAAAUAUUCGCCAUCUCAGCUCCUAAAGUGUGAAAGCGAUCUUGAUCUGUCGGCGAUCUUGAACUACUUAAUAAAUCCGUGAUAUUUUCUAAAGCUACUUUUUAUUUUAAGGCAAAUUUUAAAGAAAAUAUCCUCAAAGGCAUAGAAAUAAAAACAUUUGCCAAAAAAGUUCACAGGUAAUACUGUUUUACUUGUGCCACAAAACGUGGGCAAAAGGCCUUCGCUAAGUUUGUUCAAGCCUCAAAACACGAAAAGAAGAGAAAAUAUUGGGUAAAAUCUUGUGGUACUCCGUUGAAACCAGGAAAAAAGUUUGCAUGUAUCGCUUUUCGGAAACGGAUUUCGAGACCGCGCCUGAUUGGAAGAGGGCGAUAUAUUUUAAACCCUUUUUUUAUUUAAAAAGCGUAGUUUUAUUUAAACGAAUUUUGAUUUAGAUCAUAUACUGAUUGUCGUGUGUUGCAUCUGGAAAAGGAAUUAGCACACCUUAAGGAGCCACUUGUGAAACUGGAUAAAUUCAAAUCCAACGUCAGUCACAUACUUUCUGAGGGGCAGAUUAAAAAGUUGAAAGGCCCAUCUAUAACAUUCAUUCAAAAUUCGUACAUGGACAUGGAUGAGAAAAAAAACAAUUAGCCAAAUGAAGUUUUGGGGAUAGUUUAAUAUAUAUUUGAACUAAAAAAAAAUUUGUACAAUCUCCAACAAUAUAUUGUAAACCGAGUUAUCAAUAGAUUCCCAGAGCGCCUUGCCACUGAAGUAUCCAACUUCUGUACAAGAUACAACUUGCAAUUUUCAUCUGAAAACAAAAAAAAAAGAUUAUUAAUUUUGAUGUAAUUAUCUUCGAUGUGAACUAAGAAAAUUGGGAGAAACACGUAAAAUUCGAAUUUUUGGGGAAGGUGGAAAACAAAAGUGGUUUUUCAAGGAAAAAAAAAACUCUUCAACUGGGUAAAAAAGUCGCUUAAAAAAAGUUUUUGGAUGUUUUUUUAGUUCACAUAGAAGAGAAAACAAUACUGAAGAUAACGCAUUUUGAAUGAAAUGCAUAGCUCGUUUAGUGUACAUAAAUUAGGUAAAAUCGUGAAAAUGAAAAGCCGAGAAAACGCGCUUCAAACUACAACAAAAAGCGCACGGUUGCUCGACGCCGCACUACGCUCGGCUCUGUAGCUCUGCAAAUACUUGGAAUUUAACUCUGAAAAUUUGUGUCUCAUGUUCUUGAAUAUCUAAGCUAUUGAUUUCAGGAAAAAAAAAUUGAUUUUUUUGACCUUUUAAUUGGCCCGCCGGCCUUAAGUUAUAGAUUGCCAAAAGGUUUGUGAAACGUAUGGUUUUGGUUAUCCCAAGUGUUUGUCAAACUACGAGCUUUUAGAUUUAGGAUAGCCAUCUCUUUAAAACCUAAAAAUAUCAUAUCGAAAUUACUAAAUUAAAACUUUCCAACAAAAGUAUUAUGAAAUAUAAUAUAAGUUAUAAAGAACUCGGUAACUAGGCACUUGCAGAUGUGAAUAUGCAUAUAUGUAUGUGAAAAGUCCACGGGAAUGGUUAAGCUAAAAAUAUAAAUAAAAUGUUAACAAUUAGUCUAAAUAUUAAAAAAUAAAAUAAUACAAGAAUGAAAUAAUAAAAUAAUAAUAAUAAUAAUAUAAAAAAAAAAUAAAUAAAUAAAUAAUAAAAAAGCUACAUAAAAACAUAUGUAAAAAAUAAAUAUAAAAAAAAUUAAAAAAAAAAAAUAUAAAAAAAAAAUUUUUUUAAAAAUUAAAAAAAUAUAUGUAUAAAAAAUAUAUAAAAAAUAAAGAAAAUAUUUAAAAAAUAAAAAAAUAAUUAGUUAUUGCAUUUGCGUUUAUAUAAAAAGCCAUUUCAAUCCACUUGGAUCCACUGUACCCAGUUGCACCAUCAAAAUUAAUAUCAAUUAUCUAGUUGUUAAGAGUGUUGCCGUGCAAAAAAUUAGCUCAGAACUCUAUACAUAUAACAUAGAUGUACAUAUAUAGGUACAUAUAUGUAUGUAGGUGCAUAUACUUGUUUAUCAGUAUAAAAUAUAAUUAUCGACUAAUUAAGAAUCCUGUAAACUAAUGAUUGGCCAUAAUCGAUCAAUUGCGGAAUGCGCCAGCGAGCAGAGAGUUUCAGAACGAGUUUGUCGCUUCGUUAAUGGGGCAGGGUAAGGCAAUUAUGAUAUAUUCGCUAUUAAUAAAAUAACAAAAAUAAUUACGGAUAAAGUCACUAAUUUUAUGAUCGUAAAAUAAAAAGGCAAUCAAUGAAAUAGACGACGACAAAAAUAAAAAAUAAAAAUAAAACUACCAAAAGAUAAUCAACUAGUAAUCACACUAAUAAUCACAACAAUCUAUUUAUUUUCGAAUAACGCCUGAGCAUUCGUGCAAGUAAUUAAGCAAAAAAGCUGGCCGUAUAUAAAAAUAAUUUAAUAACGAGCAUAAUUUAUAAACAAAUUGAAACGCGUCAAAACAUUUGUACAUACAUGAGAUGAGAGUAAAAACUAAAGAGAUAACAAAAAGUGGAAUAAAUUGUAAGUUUCGGAACACGAUCUAUUUAAUUCAAACAGAAAAAUAACACUGGUUUACACAUUAGAACCAGAUUAACCCAUUGUACUGCAAAGUCGGUCGCUGAGUUCGAAAAUCCACAUAAUUCUUUUGUUUUGGUAUGCAAUUUUCGCGAUAUCGCCAAAUUACGGUUCUGGUUUAAAGGAAAAAUGUAUAUCAAAUUCCUAAUAUCUAUCCUAUCCUAUCUAUCCAUUAACCGAUCAAAACAGGUGAUAUAGCAAAUUAAAUGAAAUUACAUUUUCUAAAGAAAUUUUUUGUCUUGGAAGAUAUGAAAGUUUUCGGUUUAUAUUGUAAGAAAUAUUUAAGAAAACGAUUUUCGAAAUUUGCUUGUUACUCAUUUUUUAAGAGUUACAUCUACACAAAAUUCAGGAUAUAGGUGAAAACAAACCAAUAGAUAUACUUGUACGAGUAUGAUAAAAGUUUUUCGAAUGAGUAUAAAAAUAUUAUCUUUUGCAUUAUCCAUAUUUAAGUGAGGAAAUGGGUGUAUUCUUAGUUACAUAAGAAUUAUCGAUAGCGAUAACUAUGCUUUGACAGCUGAAAUGGCAAACUGUGUUAAUUCGUCGUCGUGGCGGACAUAGAUAUGCCGAAUAUUAUAUUAAAAAAAAAAAUGCCAUGAAUUUAUCUACGAGAUUAUAAUAAAAAAAAUCAUUCCAACAAUAUUUCUUUCUUACAUUAUCAAUUUAUGGUCUCAAGCUCUUAAAAAACUCCUUAUAGUGGUCAACA